Molecule: non-coding RNA, 1803 nt
Organism: Chlorocebus sabaeus (green monkey)
Lineage: Eukaryota; Metazoa; Chordata; Mammalia; Primates; Cercopithecidae
Source: RefSeq, a predicted model, not a curated record
CUCAAAAAAAAAAAAAAAAAAAAAAAAAAUUCAUAUAUGUAAAAUGCUUAGAAAUACAUGGCACAUAGUAUUCACUCAAUACAUGUUUUAUUAUUGUUAUUAUUAAUCGUGUGAUCCACAGGGAUGAGCCAAGCACUCUGGACAACCAUCCCAGGCUCCAAAGACAGGACAAUGACAUGGGUUCUGAGACUUAAGUUCCAACAUCCCCUUGACCUCCCAGUUCUAAUUGGUCAGGUCCUAUCUUCCCUGCUGAAUUGUUUGCUUCUUGUGUCCUCAGGAAAUUGAGGCACAGAGAGGUCAUAAAGCAAGGCCUCAAACCCCAGCAAGAACCCAGGCAGCUCUCCUGGGGCCGUGUCCCUAGGCCCCCCACAGAUCCUGGCACCCAGUGGUCAUGGGGGCUCCAUGAGCCUUUCUUCGCUGAGUGGAGGCCUUUCCACUCCUUCCCCCCGUCUUAUUCUCUUCAUCUGUUCAUAGUCAAGGUUGUGGAAUUGUAGAGUCGGGCACAAGCCUUGAUGUUCAAAUAGUUCAAGCCUCUAUUUGACCAAUAAGAGCAAAAGGCCCAGAGAAGCUAAACACAAGAGCAUACGGCCAGUUAUUGGCAGGAGUCGGGGCUGAGGAGCCUCCCCUUUUCCAAAUGGUGCCUUGCUGGCGUUUGAAAGUGUUUGCCUGAUAGAAUAAACAGGAGCAUAAAAUGGUUUUUCCAGCAGAAUGCUAAGUUCUCCAAAGUUGGGGUCUUCUGUGCUAGCUCGGGGUUCCUGCCAGGGUUCUCUUCAUCCAGAGCAGUCAGUAAAUGCUUCCCCAGUCUCCUGUCGUGCUUUCUGGAAGCACAGCAUUGGCUGAACGUCUGUCAGGUAGCAGGGGUGGCCUUAGGUGCCUUCGCAUAUGAGAUCUCAUUGAAUUUUCACUUAAAUAUGAAACUGAGUUCUUCAUAAGAACUCCUCAUUCUCAUCCCCAUUUUGUGAGAAAGUCAAAACAGUGGCAGGAGUAGCCUUGCACAGUUUCACACAGGUGGAAUGUUUUCUGAGCCUGGAUUCAUGGGUCUUGCACAGUUUCACACAGGUGGAAUGUUUUCUGAGCCUGGAUCUGUGGGUCUUACACAGUUUCACACAGGUGGAAUGUUUUCUGAGCCUGGAUCCAGGGGUCUUGCACAGUUUCACACAGGUGGAAUGUUUUCUGAGCCUGGAUCCACGGGUCUUGCACAGUUUCACACAGGUGGAAUGUUUUCUGAGCCUGGAUCCGUGGGUCUUGCACAGUUUCACACAGGUGGAAUGGUUUCUGUGCCUGGAUCCACAGGUAAGCUGAGGAGUAGUGCAGAGAGAACUGGUCUGCCGGCGGAGAAAUAGGCCGCGUGGAAAGUGGGGCAGUGAGUUCCUUGGGGGCGGGAGGGGCGGGGACAGGGAAGACUGCCCAGCGCCAGGCCUCUCCUGAGGGCGGCACUGAUCCUACCUCCAACCUUUCACCUUUCACGCUUGAGGGCUGCCUGGCCCUGACAGAAAAGAGGCAAGCGUGCAAAGUGUUCUCACAGGAAACACCAUCGCCCCCUGGUUCCUUCUAGGUUCAGAAAUCGGCUUCCCGCCCCACAGAUGGCAAUUUCUCAUUUUGAAAGCCAGAAUUCUAGAUCCUCAAAAGUUGCUUGUCUUGAAUCCUUUGGACCAGGGGUCAACCCGCUGUUUCUGAAUAGCAGCAGAUAGAAAAUAUUUUCGGUUGCACAGGCCUUUCGGUCUCUGUCACAGCUUCUCAACUUGGCCACUGUAGCACAAGAGCAACUGCAGACAGUCAGUGAAGGACCUGGUAAUCUUCCAA